Molecule: transfer RNA, 77 nt
Filed under: Labilibaculum antarcticum
Lineage: Bacteria; Pseudomonadati; Bacteroidota; Bacteroidia; Marinilabiliales; Marinifilaceae
Description: tRNA-Thr
Rfam family: tRNA
About the family: Transfer RNA (tRNA) molecules are approximately 80 nucleotides in length. Their secondary structure includes four short double-helical elements and three loops (D, anti-codon, and T loops).
Source: RNAcentral
GCCGAUGUAGCUCAGUUGGUCAGAGCAGCUGAUUUGUAAUCAGCAGGUCGCGGGUUCGAAUCCCUCCAUCGGCUCUA